Long non-coding RNA from Pungitius pungitius (ninespine stickleback), 783 nucleotides. RefSeq lists it as uncharacterized. The transcript is spliced from 3 exons. The record is from RefSeq and is a predicted model, not a curated record. Lineage: Eukaryota; Metazoa; Chordata; Actinopteri; Perciformes; Gasterosteidae.
ACACACACACACACACACACCUGCAGCCCAGGUUUCAGAGCCGUGCAGAUCUGUGAUUGGAAAUGAGGUGACUAAUUAGUCAAACCUGCUCUACCGCUCCCUUACUGCUCAGAUUUACCCCCCCUCCCAGCCCCCCUCUGUGCGGUGGACUGGAUUACUUUCGGUGUCGGAGCAGAAGCCAGGCGUCACGUCGGGGAUUCAUUCCAGAACAAACACCCACCUCUAAGUCGUCGAGGGAGGAGAAAAGGGUCCUGAUGAUCCAGUAUCUCCACUGAAGAUGUCUGGAGGACAUUUGGGGGAUUUUCAGUACAACUCAGCCGAUGCAGAGGCGACAGCAAGUCUCCACGCCGUAAACCGAUCCGCAUCGCAGAGAGCGGGAGAGGAUUCCUGAUAUGGAUCUACCUCAGAGAGCCAGCCAAACAAAGCCUCACCUGUUUUCAGCUCCCUGCUUCGUUCCUCCUCCACCACCUCCUCCACCUGCUCCUCCACCUCCUCCUUCGCCAGACUUAUGAAUCCACUUUGUCAGUUGGUGCCUUCUCUCCUCUGGUUGUUUGAUACACAGAAAUACCUGUUAGUAGCUGUCCCUCCUUCCUCCCAAAUACCUCCACCCUCCCUCCUCCUCCGGAACUGAAAUCUCCCCUUUUACCCUCCUCCAUUUCGGGUCCCAAAUCAGGGCCCCCGGGGCAGAUCCCAGACAUGAAAGUUAGCAUUGAGGAGCCGAGUGUCCGAUAUCAGUUAAUGUGAGAUACAACUAAUUAGUCCAUUAUCGGGCCCCCGCUCUCA